AUCACCGAUCAAUUAGACGAC
RNAcentral lists this non-coding RNA (21 nucleotides) under Arabidopsis thaliana (thale cress). The record is from RNAcentral. Lineage: Eukaryota; Viridiplantae; Streptophyta; Magnoliopsida; Brassicales; Brassicaceae.